GACGAACGCUGGCGGCGUGCCUAAUACAUGCAAGUAGAACGCUGAAGAGAGGAGCUUGCUCUUCUUGGAUGAGUUGCGAACGGGUGAGUAACGCGUAGGUAACCUGCCUUGUAGCGGGGGAUAACUAUUGGAAACGAUAGCUAAUACCGCAUAACAAUGGAUGACACAUGUCAUUUAUUUGAAAGGGGCAAUUGCUCCACUACAAGAUGGACCUGCGUUGUAUUAGCUAGUAGGUGAGGUAAUGGCUCACCUAGGCGACGAUACAUAGCCGACCUGAGAGGGUGAUCGGACACACUGGGACUGAGACACGGCCCAGACUCCUACGGGAGGCAGCAGUAGGGAAUCUCCGGCAAUGGGGGCAACCCUGACCGAGCAACGCCGCGUGAGUGAAGAAGGUUUUCGGAUCGUAAAGCUCUGUUGUAAGUCAAGAACGGGUGUGAGAGUGGAAAGUUCACACUGUGACGGUAGCUUACCAGAAAGGGACGGCUAACUACGUG
RNAcentral lists this ribosomal RNA (497 nucleotides) under uncultured bacterium. RNAcentral describes it as "partial 16S ribosomal RNA". It matches the Rfam family "Bacterial small subunit ribosomal RNA", at positions 28 to 507 of the family's 1533-position model. The record is from RNAcentral.